GCCUGAAUCGCCUCCAGGCAGCGCAGCAGAAGAGCUGGGCCAAGGGCUGGGGCUGGGAGGGGGACCAGGGGGAGGCAGGCGGUGCUGCAUGGGUGCUGCUUUGUGGGGGUCCUCGUCCUGCAACCAGCACGAGGUAGAGGCACACAGAGACAGACCCACCCAGCGCUCCCAUCGGAUGCCGCCUUCAGCGCCAGCUGCAGGAGAACUGGGAUGGAUGGAAACCUUGGAAACCCACAUUGGUCCACGGGGGACGGGUUGCCAUGGCGAUGCCAUCGCUCCGCAGCACAGCUCCGGCACAGCCCGCUCACUGCAGUGCAGGCGGUGGGGCCGGCGCUGCCCACGGGAUGGCAGCCCACCCCAAAGACCCCAAGGACACCACCAGCUGCCCACCCUGCAAUCCCCUCCACGGGGUGAGGAGCCUGCUGCCAUCUGCUCUGGGUGUCCCCACCAUCAGCAGAGAGCGGACACCACAUCCCUGAGAGCACACGUGGUCAACAUCUGUGUGAGGACACGGGAUAUCCCCAGCUCCAGGGAUGUGGUUGGAGCUGCAGGCAAAGAGAAGCAGAAAUAAACUGAACUGUGAUGGCA
Phasianus colchicus (ring-necked pheasant) is the source of this 588-nucleotide long non-coding RNA. RefSeq lists it as uncharacterized. NCBI's taxonomy places the organism in Eukaryota, Metazoa, Chordata, Aves, Galliformes, Phasianidae. The record is from RefSeq and is a predicted model, not a curated record.